UACGUAGGGUGCGAGCGUUAAUCGGAAUUACUGGGCGUAAAGCGUGCGCAGGCGGCUUUGCAAGACAGAUGUGAAAUCCCCGGGCUCAACCUGGGAACUGCAUUUGUGACUGCAAGGCUAGAGUACGGCAGAGGGGGAUGGAAUUCCGCGUGUAGCAGUGAAAUGCGUAGAUAUGCGGAGGAACACCAAUGGCGAAGGCAAUCCCCUAGGCCUGUACUGACGCUCAUGCACGAAAGCGUGGGGAGCAAACAGG
Molecule: ribosomal RNA, 253 nt
Filed under: uncultured bacterium
Lineage: Bacteria
Description: partial 16S ribosomal RNA
Rfam family: Bacterial small subunit ribosomal RNA
Source: RNAcentral